UACGUAGGGGGCAAGCGUUGUCCGGAAUGAUUGGGCGUAAAGGGCGCGUAGGCGGCCUGUUAAGUCUGGAGUGAAAGUCCUGCUUUCAAGGUGGGAAUUGCUUUGGAUACUGGCGGGCUGGAGUGCAGGAGAGGUUAGUGGAAUUCCCGGUGUAGCGGUGAAAUGCGUAGAGAUCGGGAGGAACACCAGUGGCGAAGGCGACUAACUGGACUGUAACUGACGCUGAGGCGCGAAAGUGUGGGGAGCAAACAGG
This 253-nucleotide ribosomal RNA is filed under the name uncultured bacterium. RNAcentral describes it as "partial 16S ribosomal RNA". It matches the Rfam family "Bacterial small subunit ribosomal RNA", at positions 524 to 776 of the family's 1533-position model. The record is from RNAcentral.